This is a long non-coding RNA of Cylas formicarius (sweet potato weevil), 949 nucleotides long. RefSeq lists it as uncharacterized. The record is from RefSeq and is a predicted model, not a curated record. The transcript is spliced from 3 exons. Lineage: Eukaryota; Metazoa; Arthropoda; Insecta; Coleoptera; Brentidae.
UGAGACGAGCGGCAAAACACCGCCGCCUGAGAAUAUUUCGAUAAGCUUGUGCGCAUGCCCAAAUUGAUACCGAUCUUGUUUCGAUGCCCAUUGAAGUUUUUUUUUUGUUUGCAAAUUAGUUUUUGCGAAAAUUUAUUGGUUUGGACAAAACAAAUGAAAAAUGUUUGUGACUUAUUGAAAAUCGAGCAUAGAGCAUGUAUCCUUCUUUGAGAAAAUAUUUAGUUAAAAUGUAGCUACACUGGUAUUUGACUGUCAUCCUUCCAGUAAGUACGUAUUUAUGUACCUGAUUAUCGAGCUUUGACCCUGCGAGGCUGUUUUAGCUGGAUAGUGCAAAGGGUAAAGGCCAAAAACUCUUGCUGCACCGGGCGCCUGGCACCAGUUUAUCACACCAUAAAGCAAGUGGGAGCCAAUUAGAGCAUGAUGUGCUAUCCAUAAUAUGCUACAACAACGCCAGCCAACCAUUCAAAAGGGAUUCAGGAAGGUUGUGGAUGUAUAUGAGAAAAAGGGUAGGUUCCAUUAUUGAGCCCUGUACAACCCCAUUUCUCACUGCUAAUGUACUCGAAGUUUUAUUAUAGGCUUCGGCCCAAGAUGUCAAAAUUGUAAUAUAUUUUUUUUUUGGAGUAGAGUGGUCCACAUAGUCGAAUGCUUUAGUAAUAUCGCUGGUUCUUUCCCAUUAAUGCACUUAGCGGCUAAACACCGCUAACUGACACUUCGCUAUUAAGUGAACCAGUUGCGUUUGAAAUUAUUGACCAUUUUAAACAGAGCUCUUCACUCUUUCGUGUUUCUCACAUUACAAUAAAAAUAAAAUAAAUCAGUUCACUCCUUUGGAAAAUUUAUUGUUUCACAGUUUAUCAUUUCCAAACAUGCGAUCAUAAAAUUGUACGCUGAUGUGGGCAGCGGCUAUUUUAUAAAUACAACUUACAAAAAUAUCGACGCUUCGUUUGUUUGU